UGAGAAAAAAUCUAUCGAUUGUUAUUUAAAUAGCAGCAGGGGUUUUUGUUGUUUCAAUCUCGGUUUCAAGGCUCGUUUUUAGUUUUUUAAAUCCUAGAUUUUCGUGUUAAACGUCACGUGAUGUUUCACAUCCUCUGGACUCGUUUCUAAUCUCAUUCGCCAUUUUUCCUAGUGUCUCUCAAUCUUAACAAGAUUUUCUUUCGAAUAUGUAAAUUGACGAGCGGAACUGAAAUUGAGAUCUUAAAAAAUUUAUAAAAAAGAUAAGACAGCUCCUUCGUACAGCUUCCUUCCUUUUUAAACCGGAACAUCGUCUGCUGGCCAAGUCACCUUUUUUUCUCUCACACCUGCCCUUCCCCAACCAACUUAAAAAAGGGAAAGAAGCCCUUGGGGCGCGCCGUGAUGAUGGUGGUGAUCUGCGUUGGCGUAGCCGUUGGAAGAGCCGUUGUUCCACGAGUUGGCCCGUCCGUAGCCGUUGUUGCCGUAGGUGCCGUUGAACGAGUUGUAGCGCGCAGACGGGCCGUUGUUGGCGCGACGGAAGCCGUUGGCCGCCGAUGGAGCGUUGGAAGAGCCGCCAGUUGGCCGGCCGCUGUUCGACUGGUAGCCAUUGUUGACAUUGUAAUAGCCGUUCUUGACCGGCUGUGAAUUGCUGGCCGGCAAUUUCCACGCCGGGCCGCGUUGAUUGCUGUGAUUGGAGACCAUCAUCGCUGAUUUCGUCUGCUCUUCUUCGCGGCCGGAUGAUGCGCAGUUGGCACCGCCGUCCGAAGAUGCUGAUGCUGUGCUGUUGUUGUUGUUGUUGUUCACUGUGGUCGUCACGACGACGGCAGAGGCGAACUUUGAUUUCUUGUCGUGUUCAACGCAAACGGAUUGCUCUUUCUCGUCAGAGGGCAGCACUACUACGUUCUGUCUCAACUCUUCGGGCUCUUGUUGUUCUUGUGGCUGAGUCUCGUCGUCUUCCUCCUCAGGACCUGAGGCAUCGCCUAUUAAACAAUUCACAAUCAAAUGUUAUGUAAUGUCAAUUGGGGGCAGUGCCAGAUUGUGUCAAUUCUGUGCGGCUCGUAUCGAUCGUGACACAUCGGGACGCGCGCAAGUCCUUCAAACAAAACGGACAGGCAAGGAAAAUCGAUGCCAACUGCAAGUUAAACCCUCCCCACAUGACGAGAGCCAUUUUUUUUUUUAUCCCAAAUGUUGUGCGGAUGGGGGGGGGUAGUGAAUUGGAAUCCAUCACAUGCAGGUUCGAACCCAACAAAAGAAAAUUCAUUCCCAUAUGUUUUUUUUCUAUUCCCCAUUUUUAGAUCGUGAAAGGGGAAAACAUUGCGUGACCCCGAAACCCUUCCUAGAAAAAAAGCCAUGUCUAGUCUCGUAUCACUAAUAAUAAUAAUAAUACAAGCAGUAAAACACA
Daphnia magna is the source of this 1399-nucleotide long non-coding RNA. RefSeq lists it as uncharacterized. NCBI's taxonomy places the organism in Eukaryota, Metazoa, Arthropoda, Branchiopoda, Diplostraca, Daphniidae. The record is from RefSeq and is a predicted model, not a curated record. The transcript is spliced from 2 exons.